GAUGAACGCUGGCGGCGUGCCUAAUACGUGCAAGUCGAGCGAACGGACGAGAAGCUUGCUUCUCUGAUGUUAGCGGCGGACGGGUGAGUAACACGUGGAUAACCUACCUAUAAGACUGGGAUAACUUCGGGAAACCGGAGCUAAUACCGGAUGAUAUUUUGAACCGCAUUGUUCAAAAGUGAAAGACGGUCUUGCUGUCACUUAUAGAUGGAUCCGCGCUGCAUUAGCUAGUUGGUAAGGUAACGGCUUACCAAGGCAACGAUGCAUAGCCGACCUGAGAGGGUGAUCGGCCACACUGGAACUGAGACACGGUCCAGACUCCUACGGGAGGCAGCAGUAGGGAAUCUUCCGCAAUGGGCGAAAGCCUGACGGAGCAACGCCGCGUGAGUGAUGAAGGUCUUCGGAUCGUAAAACUCUGUUAUUAGGGAAGAACAUAUGUGUAAGUAACUGUGCACAUCUUGACGGUACCUAAUCAGAAAGCCACGGCUAACUACGUG
Molecule: ribosomal RNA, 497 nt
Filed under: uncultured bacterium
Lineage: Bacteria
Description: partial 16S ribosomal RNA
Rfam family: Bacterial small subunit ribosomal RNA
Source: RNAcentral